Molecule: ribosomal RNA, 439 nt
Filed under: uncultured bacterium
Lineage: Bacteria
Description: partial 16S ribosomal RNA
Rfam family: Bacterial small subunit ribosomal RNA
Source: RNAcentral
CUACGGGGUGCACCAGUGAGGAAUAUUGCACAAUGGGAGGAACCCUGAUGCAGCAACGCCGCGUGGAGGAUGACGCAUUUCGGUGUGUAAACUCCUUUUAUAUGUCAAGAAAAUGACGGUAGCAUAUGAAUAAGCACCGGCUAACUCCGUGCCAGCAGCCGCGGUAAUACGGAGGGUGCAAGCGUUACUCGGAAUCACUGGGCGUAAAGGACGCGUAGGCAGGUUGGAAAGUCAGGUGUGAAAUCCUACAGCUUAACUGUAGAACUGCACUUGAAACUUCUAAUCUAGAGUAUGGGAGGGGGAGAUGGAAUUAGUGGUGUAGGGGUAAAAUCCGUAGAUAUCACUAGGAAUACCUAAAGCGAAGGCGAUCUCCUGGAACAUUACUGACGCUAAGGCGUGAAAGCGUGGGGAGCAAACAGGAUUAGAUACCCUCGUAGUC